CGCGAGUAGCGACGCGCGCGUUCUCGAUCCAUAUAGACGAGACGCGUGCGGGUGCGACUUGCGGUCGGCGCACUUCUGGCGGGCGAGCGUCAGCGUCGGUUGUCGACGGGCGAGAAGGUCGCGAGAAAGGUGGACCGGUCUCCUCACGACCGGUUGUUAAGCCUCGCGCUCGUACGGCCCGACGACGACCGUGGCUCGUGGAGGCGACGCGUGCCUGGCUGGCGACUCACCCGAUCGGUCCGGCAUGUCGACCGUGGCGGACGGCACGCCUGUGCGCUCGAACCGCUGCCGGUCGAUCGGAUGAUGUUCGCACACUACGCGUCGAAGAUGCUGACGACCAUACGGCUCCAUCCGACCCGUCUUGAAACACGGACCAAGGAGUCUAACAUGUGCGCGAGUCUCCGGGUGAUGGAAACCCGUGGGCAUAAUGAAAGUAAAGAUCGUCCCCGAGACGAUUGAGGUGAGAAGCUGCAUCAGCGGCCGCAUCAUCGACCGACCUAUUCUGCUCUCAGAAAGGUUUGAGUAAGAGCGUAUCUGUUGG
RNAcentral lists this ribosomal RNA (541 nucleotides) under Melithaea erythraea. RNAcentral describes it as "partial large subunit ribosomal RNA". It matches the Rfam family "Eukaryotic large subunit ribosomal RNA", at positions 596 to 812 of the family's 3401-position model. The record is from RNAcentral. Lineage: Eukaryota; Metazoa; Cnidaria; Anthozoa; Malacalcyonacea; Melithaeidae.